Molecule: transfer RNA, 59 nt
Filed under: Lygodactylus klugei
Lineage: Eukaryota; Metazoa; Chordata; Lepidosauria; Squamata; Gekkonidae
Description: tRNA-Cys
Source: RNAcentral
GGGAGGUGAAGACACAUCAAAGUGCAAAUUUGAAGAGGCACCCUAUAGGUGCCCCGGCU